This 460-nucleotide ribosomal RNA is filed under the name uncultured bacterium. RNAcentral's name for it is "partial 16S ribosomal RNA". It matches the Rfam family "Bacterial small subunit ribosomal RNA", at positions 338 to 795 of the family's 1533-position model. The record is from RNAcentral.
CCUACGGGAGGCAGCAGUGAGGAAUAUUGGUCAAUGGACGAGAGUCUGAACCAGCCAAGCAGCGUGAAGGAUGACUGCCCUAUGGGUUGUAAACUUCUUUUAUAUGGGAAUAAAAUGUUCCACGUGUGGGAUUUUGUAUGUACCAUAUGAAUAAGGAACGGCUAACUCCGCGCCAGCAGCCGCGGUAAUACGGAGGGUCCGAGCGUUAUCCGGAUUUAUUGGGCUUAAAGGGAGCGUAGGUGGAUUGUUAAGUCAGUUGUGAAAGUUUGCGGCUCAACCGUAGAAUUGCAGUUGAAACUGGCAGUCUUGAGUACAGGAGAGGUGGGCAGAAUUCGUGGUGUAGCGGUGAAAUGCGUAGAUAUCACGAAGAACUCCGAUUGCGAAGGCAGCUCACUGGACUGCAACUGACGCUGAGGCUCGAAAGUGUGGGUAGCAAACAGGAUUAGAUACCCGGGUAGUC